UGAACGCUGGCGGCGUGCCUAAUACAUGCAAGUCGAGCGAACGGACGAGAAGCUUGCUUUUCUGAUGUUAGCGGCGGACGGGUGAGUAACACGUGGAUAACCUACCUAUAAGACUGGGAUAACUUCGGGAAACCGGAGCUAAUACCGGAUAAUAUUUUGAACCGCAUGGUUCAAAAGUGAAAGACGGUCUUGCUGUCACUUAUAGAUGGAUCCGCGCUGCAUUAGCUAGUUGGUAAGGUAACGGCUUACCAAGGCAACGAUGCAUAGCCGACCUGAGAGGGUGAUCGGCCACACUGGAACUGAGACACGGUCCAGACUCCUACGGGAGGCAGCAGUAGGGAAUCUUCCGCAAAGGGCGAAAGCCUGACGGAGCAACGCCGCGUGAGUGAUGAAGGUCUUCGGAUCGUAAAACUCUGUUAUUAGGGAAGAACAUAUGUGUAAGUAACUGUGCACACCUUGACGGUACCUAAUCAGAAAGCCACGGCUAACUACGUG
Molecule: ribosomal RNA, 495 nt
Filed under: uncultured bacterium
Lineage: Bacteria
Description: partial 16S ribosomal RNA
Rfam family: Bacterial small subunit ribosomal RNA
Source: RNAcentral